Molecule: small RNA, 406 nt
Filed under: Pan troglodytes (chimpanzee)
Lineage: Eukaryota; Metazoa; Chordata; Mammalia; Primates; Hominidae
Description: processed transcript
Source: RNAcentral
GACUCUUCUGGAGGAAGCAGCGCGGGCUUGACCGGCGUCGGCCCGCCGCCUCCGCUGCCGCUUCGCCCCAAUCCGGUCCCUCUGACCCGGCCUGACCCGGUCUGGCUUGUUCGGGCUCAGCGGCCGCGAGGCCGCAGCUCCCGAUACAAGUCCAAUUCUGCUCAACUGCUUGUUGAGGCUCGAGUUCAGCCUAAUCCAUCAAAACAUGUUCCCACAUCCCAUCCCCCUCACCACUGUGCAGUGUGUAUGCAGUUUGUGCGAAAGGAAAACCUACUCUCUCUGGCCUGUCAGCACCAGUUUUGCCGUAGCUGCUGGGAGCAGCACUGCUCAGUUCUCGUCAAGGACGGCGUGGGCGUGGGAGUCUCUUGUAUGGCUCAGGACUGUCCACUCCGUACACCAGAGGACU